Molecule: transfer RNA, 74 nt
Filed under: Brosme brosme
Lineage: Eukaryota; Metazoa; Chordata; Actinopteri; Gadiformes; Lotidae
Also listed under: 1 other name
Description: tRNA-Leu
Rfam family: tRNA
About the family: Transfer RNA (tRNA) molecules are approximately 80 nucleotides in length. Their secondary structure includes four short double-helical elements and three loops (D, anti-codon, and T loops). Further hydrogen bonds mediate the characteristic L-shaped molecular structure. tRNAs have two regions of fundamental functional importance: the anti-codon, which is responsible for specific mRNA codon recognition, and the 3' end, to which the tRNAs corresponding amino acid is attached (by aminoacyl-tRNA synthetases). tRNAs cope with the degeneracy of the genetic code in two manners: having more than one tRNA (with a specific anti-codon) for a particular amino acid; and 'wobble' base-pairing, i.e. permitting non-standard base-pairing at the 3rd anti-codon position.
Source: RNAcentral
GUUAGAGUGGCAGAGCCCGGAUAGUGCAAAAGGCCUAAGCCCUUUCUACAGAGGUUCAAGUCCUCUCUCUAACU